UAGGGAGGUAAUGAGUGGCUUUGUCAAUUACACAGCUGCAACUAUUUGCACUUUCUGGGAAUGAUAAUAAGGUGAGGCUCAGCUCUUGACGCUUUGAAAAGUGGGUGUUAUGCUGUGGCUUUUCUCUAGAAGGAAGGAGUUCCUAAUCAGACUUAACUUGCUCUGCUGCAGGAACUAUUUCUGAGCGCUGUGCUAUUCUGAACUCUGUAUUCUUUGAAUUGCUCAACUCCCAGUGGAGGCUCUUGGACAUGAUGAACUACUUGAUAAAAUUCACUUUCAAAAUUCAUUUUAAAACCCAAAUUUAUUGACAAAAGUCCUGCGCAUCGUCUGAAGGCCACAUUUUCAACAAGGACAAAAAUUACAUGGAACAUGAAAGAAAGGGAUGCUUUUCCUUUGUUCCAUACAUGCCGCCUGUAAAAAGCAAUUAACCUUUCUGGCUGUCAUCCUACUGCUGUCUCUGAGGGAUGAAAACAGAUUUUUAGUUUGAGAAGAGGUCUGAGAGAUGCUGAAGUUAUAAGUGGGGAACUCACGGGUAUUUCUGAAGGUAAAGUACCAACAUGAAAGGUCAAGGGAAAACAAAUGGAAUGAAAGCAUCAGGAAGACG
Molecule: long non-coding RNA, 604 nt
Organism: Lagopus muta (rock ptarmigan)
Lineage: Eukaryota; Metazoa; Chordata; Aves; Galliformes; Phasianidae
Exons: 3
Source: RefSeq, a predicted model, not a curated record